GGAAACGUAAUUUAAUGGCAAAAUUCUAGCUUGCCAUGCUAGUAAUGGGGGUUCGAUUCCCCUCGUUUCCUCCA
This 74-nucleotide transfer RNA is filed under the name Mycoplasmopsis phocirhinis. Its description in RNAcentral is "Mycoplasma phocirhinis tRNA-Gly". It matches the Rfam family "tRNA". Rfam says of the family: Transfer RNA (tRNA) molecules are approximately 80 nucleotides in length. Their secondary structure includes four short double-helical elements and three loops (D, anti-codon, and T loops). Lineage: Bacteria; Bacillati; Mycoplasmatota; Mycoplasmoidales; Metamycoplasmataceae. RNAcentral also lists the same sequence under 2 other names. The record is from RNAcentral.